This 108-nucleotide small nuclear RNA is filed under the name Mesocricetus auratus (golden hamster). Its description in RNAcentral is "U4 spliceosomal RNA". It matches the Rfam family "U4 spliceosomal RNA". From Rfam's summary of the family: U4 small nuclear RNA (U4 snRNA) is a component of the major U2-dependent spliceosome. Lineage: Eukaryota; Metazoa; Chordata; Mammalia; Rodentia; Cricetidae. The record is from Rfam by way of RNAcentral.
AGCUUUGUGCAGUGACAGUAUCAUUGUCAAUAAGGGUUAUCUUAGUACAUGAUGAUUGCUAAUUGAAAAAUGAUGCCCCGCAAUAGUUUUUAAAUGAAGUUGCAGCUU